This is a non-coding RNA of Phrynosoma platyrhinos (Desert horned lizard), 70 nucleotides long. The record is from the annotation of a GenBank genome assembly. NCBI's taxonomy places the organism in Eukaryota, Metazoa, Chordata, Lepidosauria, Squamata, Phrynosomatidae.
GCCAGCAUAGCACAGUGGUUUGAGUGUUGGACUCCAACUCUGGAGGCCAGGGUUCGAUCCCAGCUUGACC